UAGCUUCAACAGUUCAUAUACUAAAAUUGGAAUGAUACAGAGGAGAUUAGGAUAGCCCUUGCUCAAAGAUGACACACGAAUUCAUGAAGACUUCCUUAUUAAA
Molecule: small nuclear RNA, 103 nt
Organism: Gracilinanus agilis (Agile Gracile Mouse Opossum)
Lineage: Eukaryota; Metazoa; Chordata; Mammalia; Didelphimorphia; Didelphidae
Source: RefSeq, a predicted model, not a curated record